RNAcentral lists this ribosomal RNA (279 nucleotides) under uncultured bacterium. RNAcentral describes it as "partial 16S ribosomal RNA". It matches the Rfam family "Bacterial small subunit ribosomal RNA", at positions 506 to 784 of the family's 1533-position model. The record is from RNAcentral.
UGCCAGCAGCCGCGGUAAUACGGAGGGUGCAAGCGUUAUCCGGAUUUACUGGGUUUAAAGGGUGCGUAGGCGGGAUGAUAAGUUAGUGGUGAAAUCCUACAGCUCAACUGUAGAAUUGCCAUUGAUACUGUCAUCCUUGAGUAUAGUUGAGGUGGGCGGAAUGUGUCAUGUAGCGGUGAAAUGCAUAGAUAUGACACAGAACACCGAUUGCGAAGGCAGCUCACUAAACUAUCACUGACGCUGAGGCACGAAAGCGUGGGUAGCGAACAGGAUUAGAUA